This 467-nucleotide ribosomal RNA is filed under the name uncultured bacterium. RNAcentral's name for it is "partial 16S ribosomal RNA". It matches the Rfam family "Bacterial small subunit ribosomal RNA", at positions 29 to 507 of the family's 1533-position model. The record is from RNAcentral.
ACGAACGCUGGCGGCGUGCUUAACACAUGCAAGUCGAACGGAAAGGCUCUGCUUUUGUGGGGUGCUCGAGUGGCGAACGGGUGAGUAACACGUGAGUAACCUGCCCUUGACUUUGGGAUAACUUCAGGAAACUGGGGCUAAUACCGGAUAGGAGCUCCUGCUGCAUGGUGGGGGUUGGAAAGUUUCGGCGGUUGGGGAUGGACUCGCGGCUUAUCAGCUUGUUGGUGGGGUAGUGGCUUACGAAGGCUUUGACGGGUAGCCGGCCUGAGAGGGUGACCGGCCACAUUGGGACUGAGAUACGGCCCAGACUCCUACGGGAGGCAGCAGUGGGGAAUAUUGCACAAUGGGCGGAAGCCUGAUGCAGCAACGCCGCGUGCGGGAUGACGGCCUUCGGGUUGUAAACCGCUUUCGCCUGUGACGAAGCGUGAGUGACGGUAAUGGGUAAAGAAGCACCGGCUAACUACGUG